Molecule: small nucleolar RNA, 130 nt
Organism: Triplophysa rosa
Lineage: Eukaryota; Metazoa; Chordata; Actinopteri; Cypriniformes; Nemacheilidae
Product: small nucleolar RNA SNORA3/SNORA45 family
Exons: 1
Source: RefSeq, a predicted model, not a curated record
AGCGAGACUAGAGUCACAUCUUGAUAUUGUGAUUGUCCUGGUGUGCUUAAGUCCUCGCAGAAUGAACUCUCUGCUUAUUCAUUGGCUGCUGCUUCUCAUUGCCCAGCCAAUCACCAGCUCAGAAACAUGU